RNAcentral lists this long non-coding RNA (476 nucleotides) under Homo sapiens (human). Its description in RNAcentral is "HSALNT0392326". The record is from RNAcentral. Lineage: Eukaryota; Metazoa; Chordata; Mammalia; Primates; Hominidae.
GUGAUCCUUCCACCUCGGCCUCCCAAAGUGCUGAGUUUACAGGCGUGAGCCACUGUCCCUGGCCAAGCAUCAUUGAAUUUGAGGGGCUGAAACUUGGAUCCUGCAACCCAUCUUCAACCAAGUAAAAGACAAGCCCCUUCACAGCUUAUUACUCAAGUAGUCUGCGGAUCUUCAGAGAGGCUGGAAGAAGCUAGUUGUACCAAAGGGACCAAAACUUGGUCUACAAGAUUCCCUGGUCAUCUACAUGAUGAAUAAACUUCAAAUAGGUAACUUUCACAUCCAGUUCUCACAGCAUCAAGUAAUUCCUGAGUGCCUACGAGAUAGCCACGAUUCCUGUUUAUAGUGUACUUGGGGGAAUACAGACAUUAAAAAAAUAGAAGUGUGAUGAGAGUUACUAAAGAAAAAGCUGGCCGGGCAUGGUGGCUCACGCCUAUAAUCCCAGAAGUUUGGGAGGCCGUGGGCAGAUAGCUUGAGGC